Non-coding RNA from Drosophila melanogaster (fruit fly), 64 nucleotides. NCBI's taxonomy places the organism in Eukaryota, Metazoa, Arthropoda, Insecta, Diptera, Drosophilidae. The record is from Ensembl.
GUGAGUGAUGCUCCAGUUAGCUUGGCUGAGUGAGGAUUUAAGUCCUGGGACAUCUCUCUUGCAG